ACGGCCCAACAAGCCUUUGAUCGGUACGGGUUGUGGGAGCAAGAGCCCGGAGAUGGAUUCUGAGACACGAAUCCAGGCCCUACGGGGCGCAGCAGGCGCGAAAACUUUACAAUGCGGGAAACCGUGAUAAGGGAACUCCGAGUGUCCGUAAAUGCGGACUGUCCGUAUGUUUAAAAAGCAUGCGAAGAAAGGGCCGGGCAAGACCGGUGCCAGCCGCCGCGGUAAUACCGGCGGCUCGAGUGGUGGCCACUAUUACUGGGCUUAAAGCGUUCGUAGCUGGGUUGUUAAGUCUCUUGGGAAAUCUACCGGCUUAACCGAUAGGCGUCCAAGGGAUACUGGCAAUCUAGGGACCGGGAGAGGUGAGGGGUACUUCAGGGGUAGGAGUGAAAUCCUGUAAUCCUUGGGGGACCACCUGUGGCGUAGGCGCCUCACCAGAACGGCUCCGACAGUGAGGGACGAAAGCUGGGGGAGCAAACCGGAUUAGAUACCCGGGUAGUCCCAGCCGUAAACGAUGCGCGUUAGGUGUAUCGAUGACCACGAGUCAUCGAGGUGCCGAAGGGAAACCGUGAAACGCGCCGCCUGGGAAGUACGGUCGCAAGGCUGAAACUUAAAGGAAUUGGCGGGGGAG
RNAcentral lists this ribosomal RNA (628 nucleotides) under uncultured archaeon. RNAcentral describes it as "bacterial SSU rRNA". It matches the Rfam family "Archaeal small subunit ribosomal RNA", at positions 244 to 876 of the family's 1478-position model. The record is from RNAcentral.